ACUGCACCCCACACAACCAACUAUUCUUCCCCUUACACACCUAAGGGCAGUCAUUCUGGGGAGCCAAACUGGGCACACACCCUUCACCCCAAGGAGCCCCUUCAGCCACUUGGCCCUCUCUAGUGUUUGCCAAUGAAUCCUCUCCUUUCACGACCUUUCUUGUUUCCUCAAAAGCACUCCGUUCCACAGGAGCCAGUGGGCUCAACUCAGCUCAAACCACCACCCAGGGAAGAUCCACAGCCAUUGGUGCCAGCUCCAGGGGAGCCACUCAAGGAGACACCCAACAAGGAGCAGAGACCACAGUCACCAGGAGCAGAGAAGAAACCAUCAGCACCACAGGAGCCAGCGGCACAAAGGGCGCUGAAAUCACCCCCAAGGGAAGACCCACCACAGCACAAGGCACCAACUCCAAUGGGGCCAGUCAAGGUGAGUGGAGCAACAAAGACCUGCUGGCUCCUGCACUUCUUCCGGGGGAUGCUCCAAUCCUUGACAGAGUCCAGUGGCCUAGCAGAGCUGCUGGCUGCCAACUUUCUACAGUUCUCACCAAACUUUCUUCCUCAUCGCAAUUCCUUGCUGCCCACAGGUGCGACCACCCGCCAAGGAGCAGACAGCCUCCUCAAUGGGAGCACUCAAGGUGAGUCCCAAGUGAACACUUGACCCUGGCCAGCUCACCCCAUUCUCAGGCUUUGGGGGCCCCUUUGGCACUCUGACAAGGCACAUCCACAAAUCUCUUGCCCAUGCUGCCUUUGAUGACUUCC
Molecule: long non-coding RNA, 758 nt
Filed under: Monodelphis domestica (gray short-tailed opossum)
Lineage: Eukaryota; Metazoa; Chordata; Mammalia; Didelphimorphia; Didelphidae
Description: lncRNA (ENSMODG00000050152.1)
Source: RNAcentral